UCCGUCAUAGCUCAACUGGCAGAGCAGCCGGCUGUUAACCGGAAGAUUGCAGGUUCGAUCCCUGCUGACGGAGC
This 74-nucleotide transfer RNA is filed under the name Rugosimonospora africana. RNAcentral's name for it is "tRNA-Asn". It matches the Rfam family "tRNA". From Rfam's summary of the family: Transfer RNA (tRNA) molecules are approximately 80 nucleotides in length. Their secondary structure includes four short double-helical elements and three loops (D, anti-codon, and T loops). Further hydrogen bonds mediate the characteristic L-shaped molecular structure. tRNAs have two regions of fundamental functional importance: the anti-codon, which is responsible for specific mRNA codon recognition, and the 3' end, to which the tRNAs corresponding amino acid is attached (by aminoacyl-tRNA synthetases). tRNAs cope with the degeneracy of the genetic code in two manners: having more than one tRNA (with a specific anti-codon) for a particular amino acid; and 'wobble' base-pairing, i.e. permitting non-standard base-pairing at the 3rd anti-codon position. Lineage: Bacteria; Bacillati; Actinomycetota; Actinomycetes; Micromonosporales; Micromonosporaceae. The record is from RNAcentral.